Long non-coding RNA from Benincasa hispida (wax gourd), 1372 nucleotides. RefSeq lists it as uncharacterized. The record is from RefSeq and is a predicted model, not a curated record. NCBI's taxonomy places the organism in Eukaryota, Viridiplantae, Streptophyta, Magnoliopsida, Cucurbitales, Cucurbitaceae.
UAAUGAGAAAAUUGGUUGGAGUGAACCUAGAGCGUACCAUCGAUAUUAUCUUCACCAUGUUGCUAGUAAUUUCAAUACGAAAUAUAAAUCAAAACAACUAAAAGAUUUGGUGUUUAAGGUAAGAAAUCAACACCAAAGGCGCAAGUUCAUUCGGUGCAUGAAAGAAUUAAAAUAAUUGAACCCUGAAUGUCUUGAAUAUUUUUCAGAUAUUAACUUGGAAAAAGUGGACCCAAUCACAUGACGGUGGGUACCGCUAUGGGUGGAUGACAAGCAAUGCAGCUAAAUGCAUGAAUGGUGUUUUCAAAGAUGCCAGAAUGUUACCAAUUACUUCUUUGGUUAUGCUAACAUUUUAUCGCACAAUAUUGUAUUUUGAACGUCGAAGACAAUAAAUUAGUGAAGUACUCGAACGUGGGGAUAUGUAUACAGAAUAUGCCUUGAGAAAACUUAAGAGGUGGGAAAAACGAGCAUCUGUGCAUACAGUGACAUCUAUUGGCAAGGAAAGUCAAACUUUUGAAGUAGAAACUGACAUAAGUAUGAUUUCUCCCUAUAAAGGACAACACACACAAGUUUUGAGCUUGAAAGAAGGAAAAUGUUCUUGUAAUUAGUAGCAGUCAUUCAAGAUUCCAUGCUCUCAUGUAAUUGCAGUUUGUACGUAGGUAUGCACGAGCAUACAUUAUGCAGCUUAUUGAAGGAUUUUUGUUCGCUGACAAGUCAAAUACUCUAGUGCAUCUCAUGUUCCUCCCGCUACUGGCUGAUUUUGAGCAUGUCGUGGGGUGGUGCAUGUCUUACAUGGUUGUAUAGAGAUCUUUGUCGGGCUACCAAUGCACAAGUGUUGGAAAUAGCGGGGCCACUGAUACUACUACAGAUGGAGUGGUAUAUUAGCUGCCUCUGACCAGUCAGCAAAUAUGUUGCUAGUAUACCGAAAAAUAUUUGAUAGACUGAUGCACAAUCAGAUUAAUUGGACGCCAUACACACAACAGAUUUGGUCAUCACUAUCUGAUUACUGUCGUGAUGGUGAAGACAUUGGUUGACCGUUGGCCCUCUUAUAUGCUUCCAUAUAGUAGAGUGGCAUCAUCCAGAUCAGAUGUUGAGACAGUUUGGUCUGCGAAAAACGAUAUCUUCGUUGUCCUAUACAUUUUCAGUACUACACCAGAUUGAUUUGAGAGGUAAGCACGACCAAGAAUGACGUCGAAUCCACCCGGAAUAUAUAUCAUACUGGCAUGGAUGACAUGAUCGUUGUGUACAGGGAGAAAUAACAAAUAGGCCAACUGUAUCAGAUGACUACUUUUUCUGGUAUGAUUCAAUCACGAGGCGAUUAAUCACACCUGAUGGCGCCUUACUAUUACUGUAUGAUAAGAGAUUUAAAAUUAGA